AAGAAAAUACAAUUCUAGAUCAAAGUUUAUUUUUGUGUAUCAGCCGAAUGUGUAUCGCAGCAGUUAAACUUCAGAUUCUUACAGUUGGGGAGGAUGGGACGCCGAAGACCAAGCACCCGCCCUCUGUGUGGUACCAGGUGAGGAUUUGCUGUCUGCUUCUGAGGUGGCUCCUGGCUGCUGUGUCCCCUGAGCAGAGAGACUGCUGCGUCUUCAUGCCACAGAAGACACUCAAGGAAAAAGCUCACCUCUGCAAGUCCUUUCUAAGAGGCAACUAGUUACACCAGGAUAAUGGCUAGAUUGCUUUGAGUCUCUUCUGCAGGGGAAUCAAAGUUAGAGAAGAUACAAGAAUGGAAGCAGAAUCCAGAAAGAGGGAGGAAGGGGCCACAAGCCAAGGGACCAAGGUGGCUUCUAGAAGCCAGAGAAGUAAGGACUCGGAUGCUCCUGAGAGUCUCCAGAGAAACCACAGCCAUGCCCACACUGAUUUUAGUCCAGUAAAAGUGACUGUCGCCUUCUGACCUCC
RNAcentral lists this long non-coding RNA (520 nucleotides) under Heterocephalus glaber (naked mole-rat). Its description in RNAcentral is "lncRNA (ENSHGLG00000032050.1)". The record is from RNAcentral. Lineage: Eukaryota; Metazoa; Chordata; Mammalia; Rodentia; Bathyergidae.